Molecule: long non-coding RNA, 1712 nt
Organism: Mytilus californianus (California mussel)
Lineage: Eukaryota; Metazoa; Mollusca; Bivalvia; Mytilida; Mytilidae
Exons: 2
Source: RefSeq, a predicted model, not a curated record
AUAUCCAAUAGCACAAUAUUGCGCAGUAGCAAGAAAUUGUCAAUUGUACAGUAUUGCACAAUAGCAAGAAAUAUUCAAUUGCACAGUAUUGUGCAAAAGAAGAUACUUCGUAUAAAUUGCUUAUUUCUUGAUCAAUUUCAAUGGGGUUUUAUUCUUGAAUUUUUGGGGUUCUUUAAUAUGCUGAAUCUAACCGUGUAUUAAGUUUUUGGAUUUUGGGCCCCAUUUUUAAAUUGGUCCACAUUGAGGUCCAAAGGGUCCAAAAUUUAACUUUGUUUGAUUUCAUCAAAAAUUGAAUUAUUGGGGUUCUUUGAUAUGCCGAAUCUAACCGUGUAUUUAGAUUCUUAAUUAUUGGUUCCGUUUUCAAAUUGGUCUACAUUAAGGUCAAAAGGGUCCAAAAUUAAACUGAGUUUGAUUUUAACAAAAAUUGAAUUUUUAGGGUUCUUUGAUAUGCUGAAUCUAAACAUGUAUUUAGAUUUUUGAUUAUGGGCCCAGUUUUCAAGUUGGUCCAAAUCGGGGUCCAAAAUUAAACUUUGUUUGAUUUCAACAAAAAUUGAAUAUAUGGGGUUCUUUGACAUGCUGAAUCUAACCAUGUAUUUAGAUUUUUGAUUUUUGGGCCCCGUUAUCAACUUUGUCCACAUUGAGGUCAAAAGGGUCCAAAAUUAAACUUUGUUUGAUUUCAUCAAAAAUUGAAUUCUUGGGGUUCUUUGAUAUGCUGAAUCUAACCAUGUAUUUAGAUUUUUUAUUUGUGGACCCGCUAUCAAAUUGGUUCAUAUUGAGGUCAAAAGGGUCCAAAAUUAAACUUUGUUUGAUUUCAUCAAAAAUUGAAUUAUUGGGGUUCUUUGAUAUGCCAAAUCUAACCGUGUAUUUAGAUUUUUAAUUUUGGGUCCCGUUUUUAAAUUGGUCUACAUUAAGGUCCAAAGGGUCCAAAUUAAACUUAGUUUGAUUUUAACAAAAAUUGAAUUCUUGGGGUUCUUUGAUAUGCUGAAUCUAAACAUGUGUUUAGAUUUUUGAUUAUGGGCCCAGUUUUCAAGUUGGUCCAAGUUGGGGUCCAAAAUUAAACUUUGUUUGAUUUCAACAAAAAUUGAAUAUAUGGGGUUCUUUGAUAUGCUGAAUCUAAACAUGUAUUUAGAUUUUAGAUUUUUGGCCCAGUUUUCAAGUUGGUCCAAAUUGGGGUCCAAAAUUAAACUUUGUUUGAUUUCAACAAAAAUUGAAUAUAUGGGGUUCUUUGAUAUGCUGAAUCUAACCAUGUAUUUAGAUUUUUUAUUUGUGGGCCCGCUAUCAAAUUGGUUCAUAUUGAGGUCAAAAGGGUCCAAAAUUAAACUUUGUUUGAUUUCAUCAAAAAUUUAAUUAUUGGGGUUCUUUGAUAUGCCAAAUCUAACCGUGUAUUUAGAUUUUUAAUUUUGGGUCCCGUUUUUAAAUUGGUCUACAUUAAGGUCCAAAGGGUCCAAAAUUAAACUUAGUUUGAUUUUAACAAAAAUUGAAUUCUUGGGGUACUUUGAUAUGCUGAAUCUAAACAUGUGUUUAGAUUUUUGAUUAUGGGACUAGUUUUCAAGUUUGUCCAAGUUGGGGUCCAAAAUUAAACUUUGUUUGAUUUCAACAAAAAUUGAAUAUAUGGGGUUCUUUGAUAUGCUGAAUCUAACCAUGUAUUUUGAUUUUGGACAUUGGACCAUAAUAGGUAAAUUAAAAAAAUUGAAGUUCUUAGACCACAUUCU